UCGGGAAUUUUGGGCAAUGGGGGAAACCCUGACCCAGCAACGCCGCGUGAAGGAUGAAGUAUUUCGGUAUGUAAACUUCGAAAGAAUAGGAAGAAUAAAUGACGGUACUAUUUAUAAGGUCCGGCUAACUACGUGCCAGCAGCCGCGGUAAUACGUAGGGUGCGAGCGUUAAUCGGAAUUACUGGGCGUAAAGGGUGCGCAGGCGGCCCCGCAUGUCAGGCGUGAAAUCCCCGAGCUCAACUUGGGAAUGGCGCUUGAAACUACGGGGCUGGAGUGUGGCAGAGGGAGGUGGAAUUCCACGUGUAGCGGUGAAAUGCGUAGAGAUGUGGAGGAACACCGAUGGCGAAGGCAGCCUCCUGGGCCAACACUGACGCUCAUGCACGAAAGCGUGGGGAGCAAACAGGAUUAGAUACCCCAGUAGUCCCUGAGCGG
This 432-nucleotide ribosomal RNA is filed under the name uncultured bacterium. Its description in RNAcentral is "bacterial SSU rRNA". It matches the Rfam family "Bacterial small subunit ribosomal RNA", at positions 355 to 802 of the family's 1533-position model. The record is from RNAcentral.